RNAcentral lists this ribosomal RNA (274 nucleotides) under uncultured bacterium. RNAcentral describes it as "partial 16S ribosomal RNA". It matches the Rfam family "Bacterial small subunit ribosomal RNA", at positions 523 to 796 of the family's 1533-position model. The record is from RNAcentral.
AUACGGAGGGCGCAAGCGUUGUUCGGAAUUAUUGGGCGUAAAGCGCGUGUAGGCGGCUUGGUAAGUCGGAUGUGAAAUCCCGGGGCCCAACCCCGGAACUGCAUUCGAAACUGCCUAGCUAGAGUCUCGGAGAGGAAGGCGGAAUUCCCGGUGUAGAGGUGAAGUUCGUAGAUAUCGGGAGGAACACCAGCGGCGAAGGCGGCCUUCUGGACGAUGACUGACGCUGAGACGCGAAAGCGUGGGGAGCAAACAGGAUUAGAAACCCCGGUAGUCC